RNAcentral lists this ribosomal RNA (327 nucleotides) under uncultured eukaryote. RNAcentral's name for it is "partial 18S ribosomal RNA". It matches the Rfam family "Eukaryotic small subunit ribosomal RNA", at positions 1470 to 1796 of the family's 1831-position model. The record is from RNAcentral.
CCCUUAGAUGUUCUGGGCUGCACGCGCGCUACACUGAAGCGUUCAACGAGUAUUUCACCUUGCCCGGGAGGGUUGGGUAAUCUUUUUAAAACGCUUCGUGAUGGGGAUAGAUUAUUGCAAUUAUUAAUCUUCAACGAGGAAUUCCUAGUAAGCGCGAGUCAUCAGCUCGUGCUGAUUACGUCCCUGCCCUUUGUACACACCGCCCGUCGCUCCUACCGAUUUAGUGAUCCGGUGAAUAAUUCGGACUGCAGCAGUGCUUGGUCCUCCGGGCUUUGCAGCGGAAAGUUUAGUGAACCUUAUCACUUAGAGGAAGGAGAAGUCGUAACA